RNAcentral lists this transfer RNA (82 nucleotides) under Nemania serpens. RNAcentral's name for it is "tRNA-Arg". It matches the Rfam family "tRNA". From Rfam's summary of the family: Transfer RNA (tRNA) molecules are approximately 80 nucleotides in length. Their secondary structure includes four short double-helical elements and three loops (D, anti-codon, and T loops). Further hydrogen bonds mediate the characteristic L-shaped molecular structure. tRNAs have two regions of fundamental functional importance: the anti-codon, which is responsible for specific mRNA codon recognition, and the 3' end, to which the tRNAs corresponding amino acid is attached (by aminoacyl-tRNA synthetases). tRNAs cope with the degeneracy of the genetic code in two manners: having more than one tRNA (with a specific anti-codon) for a particular amino acid; and 'wobble' base-pairing, i.e. permitting non-standard base-pairing at the 3rd anti-codon position. The record is from RNAcentral. Lineage: Eukaryota; Fungi; Ascomycota; Sordariomycetes; Xylariales; Xylariaceae.
GGCCUCGUGGCCCAAUGGCAAGGCGUCUGACUACGACCAAGUACUAAUCAGGAGAUUCUGGGUUCGACCCCCAGCGAGGUCA